Molecule: ribosomal RNA, 275 nt
Filed under: uncultured Legionella sp.
Lineage: Bacteria; Pseudomonadati; Pseudomonadota; Gammaproteobacteria; Legionellales; Legionellaceae
Description: partial 16S ribosomal RNA
Rfam family: Bacterial small subunit ribosomal RNA
Source: RNAcentral
CCUACGGGGGGCUGCAGUGGGGAAUAUUGGACAAUGGGGGGAACCCUGAUCCAGCAAUGCCGCGUGUGUGAAGAAGGCCUGAGGGUUGUAAAGCACUUUCAGUGGGGAGGAGGACGUGUAGGUUAAGAGCUAGCAUGUUGGACGUUACCCACAGAAGAAGCACCGGCUAACUCCGUGCCAGCAGCCGCGGUAAUACGGAGGGUGCAAGCGUUAAUCGGAAUUACUGGGCGUAAAGGGUGCGUAGGUUGUUUAUUAAGUUAGCUGUGAAAGACCUG